UUGACCAGGGCCGUAGCCAGAAAAAAUUUCGGGGGGGGGGGUGAAAUUUUUUUGGGGGGGGGUUUAACCCCUUGCACAUACCCCUCCCCGCUACAAACCUGUCAAUAUCUGCUUGAGAUAGUGCCUGGAGGGACUCUUAAUGUUUUGUGUCUCAUAGACUUAGCAUGGGGAUUUGGUUAACCAGUUAAAAUUCAUGAGUAAACCAGGUUUUUUUUAUAACCUGGAAAAUUUCGGGGGGGGGGGGGUGAACCCCUAAAACCGCCCCCUCGCUACAGGCCUGAGUUUGACCAUGCCUGCUGUAUCCCAACUCCCAUCAGCCUAGUCAUGAUUUGGAAGGAUGAGGAAUGCAGGGAUUAUAGUCCAGCAUCUGGAAGAGGGACACAUAAAAUGGUUUGGCCUUUGCAUCUUGAGUUUGACAGCUGGAAUAGAUGCAGCUAAAGUCUUUGGUGGAAGAGCAGUGAAAGAUCUGUUGGCUUUGCCUUUGGAGAUGCCCAGGGACUUGAAAUGGGCCCAAACAAGGUAGGCAGAGAGGGGCAAGGAGGCAGCUGGUUAAGCAGAGCUACAAACUCACAAAUAAUAAUCAAAUUGACACAAGAGGAACCCACGAAUGUAUACUACCCUGUAAGAUCUCCUGGUGGUACACAAGUCAAAUCCAUUUACAACUCUUUAAAACAAUAAACCUAAUUCAAACAGUAUUUUAAAAAAACCCAAUGUGGUGAUUGGCAACUCUAUCCUACCUUAUAAGAUCUCAAAGUUAUACACACGUUAAACCAAUGUAAACAGUUUAAAACUCUUUAAAACAAGAUACCUCAUUUAAACAGACUAAAAAUAUAUUCAGUUUUAACAAGUCAAAAAUAGAUUUAAAAUACUAAAACACUUUAGCUAUGUGCUUGAAUUUGUCAGGAAUAAAGCAACAUGGCCACAAAGGUACUGAUAAACAGCCAUGGUUGACAUUGUGCUGAAAUGAAGCCAUCGUUGGUCCUCCAAGAGAAAGGUAUUCCACAAUUGAGGGGACAUAACUAAGGAUGUUUUCCCCCACAUCUUUCCGCAAAAUAUUGAUCAGUGAGAGAGGAAGAGGACCCUCCGACAGAGCUCAAACAAUGAAAAGUCUUGAUAAAAUGAAAACAAUCCUUUUAAAGAAUUAUUUUGACUUUUAUAGACCGUGGGCACUUCUGUUGCUGCUAUUGUUUAGAUUCCAUGUUUAGAAUGUUUUGCACUUCAGGAAAUAUUUCUGUGGUUUUAUUUUCCUUUCUGUACACCACUCCCAAGAACUCAGUGUUACUGGCAGUGUAAACAUGGGCUGAAUAGCACAAGAAAAAGAAGACGUGUCCUCCGCUAGAAGAAAACUCACUGUGGCUCAUUCUGUUUCCCUCCUUGAAUGGCCUGCCACAGGCAGAUGCAUUUGUCAGAUGAAAAUAGGUACAUUUGUUGUGUGUCACUAACCUUAAUAGUAGCUCUUUGUUCUGCCAAGAGCAAAUGUUAAAAGCAAGCAGCUUCCAUGACAUUUUAUGGCUGGCACUCCCCACUAAAAAGUUUUGAAUUUGAAAAUGUAUUUUCCUCAUAUUUUAAAAGCUGGAAGAUUUAAGUCUAGUAAUUAGUAUCAUAUGGGGGUUGUGGGUUCAGAUUUACACUUGGCUAUGGAGCUCAUGGGAUAACCUGGGGUCAGGUGUUAUCUCACAGGAUUGCUGUAAGGAUGGAGGCGAUUGGGGGACACUGAUCAAAGCUCCUUGGAUGAAAAAUGGCAUAAAACAUUUGCCACAAACCUUUUGUGUCAAGUACAAAUUCCUAUGUUUUCCAGAGUGUUGAAGUAUAUGCCAACCAAAUUAUUCAGCAUGGUAUCCAAGUGGGAAAGCUUGUGUGUUGCAAAUUUAAGAACCAUGUAUGUGAAAUAGGAUGUGACACUGGGUGCAAAUUUGGAUACUUCAACAUUGUUCAAAGCCUCUGCCUCACGAUCAAAAAAAAAGCUCCAGGCAACAAAAUGUUGCAGAAUGUAUGAGGGAAAUUUAUUUUUAAAAUAACAUUUGUUUCUGUGGUAACUAUUUUCAAGGGCACAAACAGAUUGUUUCAUUGGAGUAUUCUAGCAAGGCAACAUAUAUCAACCUGGUCAACUGCUGAAGAAAAAUGGAAGAAUUAGGAAAGAAGUGCUGUGAUCCAAGGAUACCAAAACCACAGGCACAAGUUGGAAAACACCAUCAGCAAAGGGUCAGUUGGGUUCUGGGUCUUGGGGUCAAGGCUAUUAAUAAUGUGGUCAUGACUUCCAAGAUCAUAGCUGUAAUCCCAAGAUUUGAAUUUUCAAACAAUCAUCAGUCCAAAAACACCGCUUUAUAUACUUAUCUAUUUUGUGUGGCCUUGUGGAUCUUAUGUAUUGGUGAGCAUGGAAUAAGCUCUAUACCAAUCCUUUAUGGUCCUGUAACCUGGACUAAUAUGCUUCUCUGUCCUACCAGCCCUUUCUGAUACUUGACAAAGUGGUGACAGAUUUAUUGUAGCAGCAGUAUAUGAAUGAGGGAAGUAUUUGCUAUUCUUGUGCACUAAAGUAAUUUUAGACUUUGGGCUGCAUGGUUUCAGAGGUGCUUAACUUAUGUGUCCACCUAACCAGCUGCCUCCAAGAUAUGCACUGCUUGCUAUCAUUCUCUGCAUGUGUGGGCUUCACAAAGAAAGAAGACUGACAGCCUUUGGGCUCCAGCUUGUAAGCCAUUGCUUCACACCAGAGACUUUCAAAGGUGCUAGAGAGGUUACUGCAAUCAGCAAAAUCUCCUUUUGUAAUGUAUUGUUUUAAGUUAUCUUUCAAUAGCCAUGGGUGGAGUUAAACCUUUA
Long non-coding RNA from Anolis carolinensis (green anole), 2814 nucleotides. RefSeq lists it as uncharacterized. The record is from RefSeq and is a predicted model, not a curated record. The transcript is spliced from 2 exons. NCBI's taxonomy places the organism in Eukaryota, Metazoa, Chordata, Lepidosauria, Squamata, Anolidae.